RNAcentral lists this long non-coding RNA (734 nucleotides) under Cyanistes caeruleus (blue tit). RNAcentral's name for it is "lncRNA (ENSCCEG00000008035.1)". Lineage: Eukaryota; Metazoa; Chordata; Aves; Passeriformes; Paridae. The record is from RNAcentral.
AGAAUUUUUGUGUGUUCCCUUAUGUAGAGCUUUGUCCCUGACAACUGCUGGCAUCUGUCUCCCUUUCAGUGCUCCCCUGUGGGAUUCCUGGUUGUGCUCCAUGCAUGACAUCCCUGCCUCACUGAUUCUGCUCUGACCCACAGGCACAGCCUCCCUGGGAAGGGUUUUCCUGGCUCCUCACCAUGUUUUCUGGAGAGGAAGGAAGGGAGUGGAAGGGAACACCAAGAUGAGAUGGCUCUCUAGCCUUCUUCUCUUACUGAUGCUUUGACCUGAGGGUGCUCCUCUGCAAUCUACCAAGGUGCACAAUUUGUAAAAUUACCUACUGCCUCCAAUUCCAGCCUUCUCCCAUCCAUGGGAUUCUCCCUCCUGUUCUGUCUGGUUUCAAACACCAAAGAAAAUCUCAUUUAAGUGGAGUGCAUAGAGAGGCAGCCCAGCAGUUACCAGUAAACAAAUUACCAAGAAUUCACAUUUAGAGUGCCCACGUAUCUUGUGUUGUGAAGGAUGUCCCUUAGCAGGCUUCAACUUGCUAAAAACCAUGUCCUAGAAAUGUGGAUCCAACCUCAUCCUGGGAACCUGAGCUUCCAAAGAUGGGCCACAGCCGAGUGCUACAAGUGUUUGCUACAGUCUGGUACAGAAUGAAAAGGAGAGGAAGAACUUGUUGCCUCACAGUGUAAAAAAUGCAUUGAAUAUUAGUAAUGAGUGAAUGGAUGAAGGGCUUCCAUCAAUAAAAUCUA